GUGGGGAAUAUUGGACAAUGGGCGAAAGCCUGAUCCAGCCAUGCCGCGUGUGUGAAGAAGGUCUUCGGAUUGUAAAGCACUUUAAGUUGGGAGGAAGGACAGUAAGUUAAUACCUUGCUGUUUUGACGUUACCGACAGAAUAAGCACCGGCUAACUUCGUGCCAGCAGCCGCGGUAAUACGAAGGGUGCAAGCGUUAAUCGGAAUUACUGGGCGUAAAGCGCGCGUAGGUGGUUUUGUAAGUUGGAGGUGAAAUCCCCGGGCUCAACCUGGGAACUGCCUCCAAAACUGCAUGACUAGAGUACGGUAGAGGGUAGUGGAAUUUCCUGUGUAGCGGUGAAAUGCGUAGAUAUAGGAAGGAACACCAGUGGCGAAGGCGACUACCUGGACUGAUACUGACACUGAGGUGCGAAAGCGUGGGGAGCAAACAGGAUUAGAAACCCCAGUAGUCC
Molecule: ribosomal RNA, 450 nt
Filed under: uncultured bacterium
Lineage: Bacteria
Description: bacterial SSU rRNA
Rfam family: Bacterial small subunit ribosomal RNA
Source: RNAcentral